GGGGACGGGCGGCGUGCUUACCAUGCAAGUCGAGCGGUAAGGCCCUUCGGGGUACACGAGCGGCGAACGGGUGAGUAACACGUGGGUAACCUGCCCUGUACUCUGGGAUAAGCCUUGGAAACGAGGUCUAAUACCGGAUACGACCACUGAUCGCAUGAUCGGUGGUGGAAAGUUCCGGCGGUAUGGGAUGGACCCGCGGCCUAUCAGCUUGUUGGUGGGGUAAUGGCCUACCAAGGCGACGACGGGUAGCCGGCCUGAGAGGGUGACCGGCCACACUGGGACUGAGACACGGCCCAGACUCCUACGGGAGGCAGCAGUGGGGAAUAUUGCACAAUGGGCGAAAGCCUGAUGCAGCGACGCCGCGUGAGGGAUGACGGCCUUCGGGUUGUAAACCUCUUUCAGCAGGGACGAAGCGCAAGUGACGGUACCUGCAGAAGAAGCACCGGCUAACUACGUGCCAGCAGCCGCGGUAAUACGUAGGGUGCGAGCGUUGUCCGGAAUUAUUGGGCGUAAAGAGCUCGUAGGCGGUUUGUCGCGUCGGCCGUGAAAACUUGGGGCUUAACUCCAAGCUUGCGGUCGAUACGGGCAGACUUGAGUUCGGCAGGGGAGACUGGAAUUCCUGGUGUAGCGGUGAAAUGCGCAGAUAUCAGGAGGAACACCGGUGGCGAAGGCGGGUCUCUGGGCCGAUACUGACGCUGAGGAGCGAAAGCGUGGGGAGCGAACAGGAUUAGAUACCCUGGUAGUCCACGCCGUAAACGGUGGGUGCUAGGUGUGGGGGGCUUCCACGCCCUCUGUGCCGCAGCUAACGCAUUAAGCACCCCGCCUGGGGAGUACGGCCGCAAGGCUAAAACUCAAAGGAAUUGACGGGGCCCGCACAAGCGGCGGAGCAUGUGGAUUAAUUCGAUGCAACGCGAAGAACCUUACCUGGGCUUGACAUGCACUGGAAACCAGUAGAGAUAUUGGCCCCC
This 968-nucleotide ribosomal RNA is filed under the name Lentzea sp. YIM 75761. Its description in RNAcentral is "bacterial SSU rRNA". It matches the Rfam family "Bacterial small subunit ribosomal RNA", at positions 29 to 1017 of the family's 1533-position model. The record is from RNAcentral. Lineage: Bacteria; Bacillati; Actinomycetota; Actinomycetes; Pseudonocardiales; Pseudonocardiaceae.